This 253-nucleotide ribosomal RNA is filed under the name uncultured bacterium. Its description in RNAcentral is "partial 16S ribosomal RNA". It matches the Rfam family "Bacterial small subunit ribosomal RNA", at positions 524 to 776 of the family's 1533-position model. The record is from RNAcentral.
UACAGAGGUGGCAAGCGUUGUUCGGAAUUACUGGGCGUAAAGCGCGUGUAGGCGGCUCUUCAAGUCAGGCGUGAAAGCCCCGGGCUCAACUCGGGAACUGCGCUUGAUACUGUCGAGCUAGAGUGUGGAAGGGGCGAUUGGAAUUCCGUGUGUAGCGGUGAAAUGCGUAGAUAUACGGAGGAACACCAGAGGCGAAGGCGGAUCGCUGGGCCAACACUGACGCUGAGACGCGAAAGCGAGGGGAGCAAACGGG